AUUGAACGCUGGCGGCAUGCCUUACACAUGCAAGUCGAACGGUAACAGGGAGCUUGCUCCGCUGACGAGUGGCGAACGGGUGAGUAAUGUAUCGGAACGUACCUUUUAGUGGGGGAUAACGUAGCGAAAGUUACGCUAAUACCGCAUAUUCUCUGAGGAGGAAAGCAGGGGACCUUCGGGCCUUGCGCUAAUAGAGCGGCUGAUAUCAGAUUAGCUAGUUGGUGAGGUAAAGGCUCACCAAGGCGACGAUCUGUAGCGGGUCUGAGAGGAUGAGCCGCCACACUGGAACUGAGACACGGUCCAGACUCCUACGGGAGGCAGCAGUGGGGAAUUUUGGACAAUGGGGGCAACCCUGAUCCAGCCAUGCCGCGCGAGUGAAGAAGGCCUUCGGGUUGUAAAGCUCUUUCGGCCGGGAAAAAAUCGCAUGGGUUAAUACCCUGUGUGGAUGAUGGUACCGGAAUAAGAAGCACCGGCUAACUACGUGCCAGCAGCCGCGGUAA
Molecule: ribosomal RNA, 500 nt
Filed under: uncultured bacterium
Lineage: Bacteria
Description: partial 16S ribosomal RNA
Rfam family: Bacterial small subunit ribosomal RNA
Source: RNAcentral